GAUCUAUAGCUCUUGGCUCUUCAUAGACCUUCUUUUUGAGCUCAACUAACCUCCCACUAUCACCCUCUUAGAUAAACUAUUUUUUUUAGAAAUAUGAUGUUCCGACUCACAAUCACAUUAUGGUCUCAUGAAAAGAAGUAGUAUCCCAUAGAUUCUUUAGGAUACCCUAUAAAAUAAGCUAUAAUAGAUCUAUCCUCUAACUUAUCCACCAUCUAUCUCUUGACA
Molecule: long non-coding RNA, 225 nt
Filed under: Elaeis guineensis (African oil palm)
Lineage: Eukaryota; Viridiplantae; Streptophyta; Magnoliopsida; Arecales; Arecaceae
Description: long non-coding RNA (EGUI_LNC061580)
Source: RNAcentral